Long non-coding RNA from Physeter macrocephalus (sperm whale), 677 nucleotides. RefSeq lists it as uncharacterized. The record is from RefSeq and is a predicted model, not a curated record. Lineage: Eukaryota; Metazoa; Chordata; Mammalia; Artiodactyla; Physeteridae. The transcript has 3 exons.
AAGAAAACAUGGGAGAGAUGCCCCCGUUCUUUCAUGGAUAUUGUUAUAUGUGAAUGUGAUGCCCUGAACUGCAGCAACUACGAAGGGAGGCAGUCUGAGGACGAGCUAACAUGUUUGCAAGAGCAAAGCAAAAGGAUGGGAAGAAUAUGGGCCCUCUGUGAGCAGUGCUGAGGAACCCCGGAGCCUCUCACCAGGGAUGAGGAGAGGGACCGAUUCAACUGGAAGGGCAUGUGAUGUUCAUUCAUCUGACAAAUACUAAGUGCCUUUCAUAUGCGCGGCUAAGUGCCUACAACAGAAUGUGAAUAAAGGAAUAAGACCAAAACAAUCACCCAGCUGGAGAGAGAGAGGAGUAUUUUAAGGUAAAGUGGGAUGUCUGCAGUCAGGUCAAGAAACAGCUUACGCUAGAGAGCACCAUCUAUUUACUUCACAACCCACCCUCCACCUUACUGUCUCCUCCCUGUCACGAGACAAUCUAUGAUCAUCGCCCACUGAGGUAAUGCAACCCGGCUUGGAAUUCUCACGGCCUGCAAUUCCCCUGGAUUUAAUUCUUGUAUUAAAGCUCCCUAGCUACAUAAAAUACCAUUUCUUCAAUGACUUUCCUGUAAUUCCCCAAAUACACUUCUCUCUCCUUUCUGGCCCAAGCUCCUUAAUAUUCUGAGUUAUUCAAACUUCAGGUA